RNAcentral lists this ribosomal RNA (498 nucleotides) under uncultured bacterium. RNAcentral's name for it is "partial 16S ribosomal RNA". It matches the Rfam family "Bacterial small subunit ribosomal RNA", at positions 29 to 523 of the family's 1533-position model. The record is from RNAcentral.
AUUGAACGCUGGCGGCAUGCCUUACACAUGCAAGUCGAACGGUAACGCGGGGCAACCUGGCGACGAGUGGCGAACGGGUGAGUAAUGUAUCGGAACGUGCCCAGUUGUGGGGGAUAACUGCUCGAAAGAGCAGCUAAUACCGCAUACGACCUGAGGGUGAAAGCGGGGGACCGCAAGACCUCGCGCAAUUGGAUCGGCCGAUAUCAGAUUAGGUAGUUGGUGGGGUAAAGGCUCACCAAGCCAACGAUCUGUAGCUGGUCUGAGAGGACGACCAGCCACACUGGGACUGAGACACGGCCCAGACUCCUACGGGAGGCAGCAGUGGGGAAUUUUGGACAAUGGGCGCAAGCCUGAUCCAGCCAUGCCGCGUGCGGGAAGAAGGCCUUCGGGUUGUAAACCGCUUUUGUCAGGGAAGAAAAGACUCCUGUUAAUACCGGGGGUUCAUGACGGUACCUGAAGAAUAAGCACCGGCUAACUACGUGCCAGCCGCCGCGGUAA